CCUUCCCCGGACGGCCCGUACCGUAAACCGACACAGGUGGGUGAGUGUAAGCGCACUCAGGCGCGCGAGAGAAACCUCUCUAAGGAACUCGGCACAUUAGCCUCGUAACUUCGGGAGAAGAGGUGCUUGAAACCGUUGCAGUAAUGUAAUGGCGUAAAGCCACAGUAAAUUGCGUUUAGCGACUGUUUAACAAAAACACAGCACUCUGCCAAGUCGUGAAGACGACGUAUAGGGUGUGACACGUGACCAAUGCGGAAAGAUUAAAACAUUGGGUUAGCCGCAAGGCGAAGCUCGGUGUCCAAGUCCCCGUGAAUGUCGGCCGUAACUAUAACGGUCCUAAGGUAGCGAAAUUCCUUGUCGGGUAAGUUCCGACCUGCACGAAUCGUGUAACGACUGAACGACUGUCUCGGAGAGGAUCUCGGCGAAACUGUAACGGCGGUGAAGAUGCCGCCUGCCCGCAGUAGGACGGAAAGACCCUAUGCACCUUUACUGUAAGCUCGUAUUGGGUUCUGAUUAACGAUGCGUAGCGUAGGUGGGAGACUUUGAAGCGAGUCCUUCGGGAUUCGUGGAGUCGCAAUGUGAAACACCACUCUUUGCUAAUUAGGAUUCUGACCCCGAUUUCUGUGAAACCAGACGGGGGACAGUGCGUGCGGGUCAGUUUGACUGGGGCGGUUUCCUCCCAAAGAGUAACGGAGGAGCGCGAUGCUUGGUUCAGCAUGGUUGGCAACUAUGCGUUGAGGUAUGGCUAGAAACCAGGUUAACUGUGAGACGUACAUGUCGAGCAGGUGCGAAAGCAGGCCCAGAUGAUCCGACGGUUUAAAAUGGAAUUGCCGUCGCUCAUCGGACAAAAGGUACGCUAGGGAUAACAGGCUGAUCGGAUCCAAGAGUUCACAUCGACGAUCCGGUUUGGCACCUCGAUGUCGGCUCAUCGCAUCCUGGGGCUGGAGAAGGUCCCAAGGGUCCGGCUGUUCGCCGGUUAAAGCGGUACGCGAGCUGGGUUCAGAACGUCGUGAGACAGUUCGGUCCUUAUCCACUGUGGGCGCAGGAAACUUGAGGGGUUCUAACCUUAGUACGAGAGGACCGGGUUAGACGCACUUCUGGUGUGGCAGUUGUUCCAUCCGGGGCAUCGCUGCGUAGCCAUGUGCGGAAGAGAUAAGCGCUGAAAGCAUCUAAGUGCCAAGCUCCUCCCAAGAUAUUGUUUCCCGGGGCGCAAGCCCCCUAAAGACCACGGGCAGACUACCCGUUUGAUAGGCUAGGAAUGUAAGUGCCGCGAGGUGCUCAGUUGACUAGUACUAAUCGGUCGUGCGGCUUGAUCU
RNAcentral lists this ribosomal RNA (1316 nucleotides) under metagenome. RNAcentral describes it as "bacterial LSU rRNA". It matches the Rfam family "Bacterial large subunit ribosomal RNA", at positions 1627 to 2925 of the family's 2925-position model. The record is from RNAcentral.